This 419-nucleotide non-coding RNA is filed under the name Alligator mississippiensis (American alligator). Its description in RNAcentral is "Eukaryotic large subunit ribosomal RNA". It matches the Rfam family "Eukaryotic large subunit ribosomal RNA", at positions 3009 to 3399 of the family's 3401-position model. The record is from Rfam by way of RNAcentral. Lineage: Eukaryota; Metazoa; Chordata; Crocodylia; Alligatoridae.
UGGUGUGAUAGUAAUCCUGCUCAGUAUGAUAGGAACUGCAGGUUCAAAUAUUUGGUGUAUGUGCUUGGCUGAGGAGCCAAUGGGGCAAAACUACCAUCUGUGGGAUUAUGACUGAACACCUCUCUAAGUCAGAAUAGCCCCUAAAGGUAAUGAUACUGCUGUGCCAUGGAGCCUUGAUUGGCUCUGGAUAGCUGGCCACUCCCCCAGAGGGGGCAGGACCCAGUGUGGACAGCCGUUCAUGUUGGGACAGGAAAGCAGGCAGAGGGCAGCCACAUUUCCACCCACAGCAUAUCACAUGUUCACAGGGAACCUGGUGCUAAAUCAUGCAUAGAUGCCCUGAUUCUGGGUUAGGUUUUUGUAUAUAGCAGACCAGCUACCUUGUUGCAAUCUAUUGAAAGUCAGCCCUUGAAACCAGCUUU